GAUGAUUAUGCUGAUGCACAUAUUUGUAUAUUUAUAGGUUCGCAUCCAACUACCUCUUAUGAUAUUUGGAUUGGUUUUGGUAUUAUGCAUUAUAUCUUGGCAUUCAUUCUUGUAUGUUUAUUUCCUAUCACUGGUAUGCACCUAUAUGUAUCAGCCUUAUGGGAGGUUGCAUAGGUAUGGGUGAUGAGUAUGCCUUGUGGUGUGUUGU
This 208-nucleotide long non-coding RNA is filed under the name Capsicum annuum. RNAcentral's name for it is "long non-coding RNA (CANN_LNC019083)". The record is from RNAcentral. Lineage: Eukaryota; Viridiplantae; Streptophyta; Magnoliopsida; Solanales; Solanaceae.